This 1308-nucleotide ribosomal RNA is filed under the name Enterobacter cloacae complex sp. P32C. RNAcentral's name for it is "partial 23S ribosomal RNA". It matches the Rfam family "Bacterial large subunit ribosomal RNA", at positions 1641 to 2925 of the family's 2925-position model. The record is from RNAcentral. Lineage: Bacteria; Pseudomonadati; Pseudomonadota; Gammaproteobacteria; Enterobacterales; Enterobacteriaceae.
AUCGUACCCCAAACCGACACAGGUGGUCAGGUAGAGAAUACCAAGGCGCUUGAGAGAACUCGGGUGAAGGAACUAGGCAAAAUGGUGCCGUAACUUCGGGAGAAGGCACGCUGAUAUGUAGGUGAAGCCCCUGCGGGCGGAGCUGAAAUCAGUCGAAGAUACCAGCUGGCUGCAACUGUUUAUUAAAAACACAGCACUGUGCAAACACGAAAGUGGACGUAUACGGUGUGACGCCUGCCCGGUGCCGGAAGGUUAAUUGAUGGGGUUAGCGGCAACGCGAAGCUCUUGAUCGAAGCCCCGGUAAACGGCGGCCGUAACUAUAACGGUCCUAAGGUAGCGAAAUUCCUUGUCGGGUAAGUUCCGACCUGCACGAAUGGCGUAAUGAUGGCCAGGCUGUCUCCACCCGAGACUCAGUGAAAUUGAACUCGCUGUGAAGAUGCAGUGUACCCGCGGCAAGACGGAAAGACCCCGUGAACCUUUACUAUAGCUUGACACUGAACACUGGUCCUUGAUGUGUAGGAUAGGUGGGAGGCUUUGAAGCGUGGACGCCAGUCUGCGUGGAGCCGUCCUUGAAAUACCACCCUUUAAUGGCUGGUGUUCUAACGUGGACCCGUGAUCCGGGUUGCGGACAGUGUCUGGUGGGUAGUUUGACUGGGGCGGUCUCCUCCCAAAGAGUAACGGAGGAGCACGAAGGUUAGCUAAUCCUGGUCGGACAUCAGGAGGUUAGUGCAAUGGCAUAAGCUAGCUUGACUGCGAGAGUGACGGCUCGAGCAGGUGCGAAAGCAGGUCAUAGUGAUCCGGUGGUUCUGAAUGGAAGGGCCAUCGCUCAACGGAUAAAAGGUACUCCGGGGAUAACAGGCUGAUACCGCCCAAGAGUUCAUAUCGACGGCGGUGUUUGGCACCUCGAUGUCGGCUCAUCACAUCCUGGGGCUGAAGUAGGUCCCAAGGGUAUGGCUGUUCGCCAUUUAAAGUGGUACGCGAGCUGGGUUUAGAACGUCGUGAGACAGUUCGGUCCCUAUCUGCCGUGGGCGCUGGAGAAUUGAGGGGGGCUGCUCCUAGUACGAGAGGACCGGAGUGGACGCAUCACUGGUGUUCGGGUUGUCAUGCCAAUGGCACUGCCCGGUAGCUAAAUGCGGAAGAGAUAAGUGCUGAAAGCAUCUAAGCACGAAACUUGCCCCGAGAUGAGUUCUCCCUGAGACUAUAAGUCUCCUGAAGGAACGUUGAAGACGACGACGUUGAUAGGCCGGGUGUGUAAGCGCAGCGAUGCGUUGAGCUAACCGGUACUAAUGAACCGUGAGGCUUAACCUU